This is a non-coding RNA of Caenorhabditis elegans, 21 nucleotides long. The record is from Ensembl. Lineage: Eukaryota; Metazoa; Nematoda; Chromadorea; Rhabditida; Rhabditidae.
UGCUUCGUUUGGUGUCAAUCG